This 77-nucleotide transfer RNA is filed under the name Xanthobacter autotrophicus. RNAcentral describes it as "tRNA-Met". It matches the Rfam family "tRNA". From Rfam's summary of the family: Transfer RNA (tRNA) molecules are approximately 80 nucleotides in length. Their secondary structure includes four short double-helical elements and three loops (D, anti-codon, and T loops). The record is from RNAcentral. RNAcentral also lists the same sequence under 5 other names. Lineage: Bacteria; Pseudomonadati; Pseudomonadota; Alphaproteobacteria; Hyphomicrobiales; Xanthobacteraceae.
GGCAGCGUAGCUCAGUCGGUGAGAGCGCCGGAUUCAUAACCCGGAGGUCGGUGGUUCAAAUCCACCCGCUGCUACCA